This 808-nucleotide ribosomal RNA is filed under the name uncultured Paenibacillaceae bacterium. RNAcentral describes it as "bacterial SSU rRNA". It matches the Rfam family "Bacterial small subunit ribosomal RNA", at positions 10 to 808 of the family's 1533-position model. The record is from RNAcentral. Lineage: Bacteria; Bacillati; Bacillota; Bacilli; Caryophanales; Paenibacillaceae.
AGUUUGAUCCUGGCUCAGGACGAACGCUGGCGGCGUGCCUAAUACAUGCAAGUCGAGCGGAUUUAUCCUUCGGGAUAAGUUAGCGGCGGACGGGUGAGUAACGCGUAGGCAACCUGCCUAUAAGACUGGGAUAACUAUCGGAAACGAUAGCUAAGACCGGAUAACUGAUUUUCUCGCAUGAGAAAAUUAUGAAACACGGAGCAAUCUGUGGCUUAUAGAUGGGCCUGCGGCGCAUUAGCUAGUUGGUAGGGUAACGGCCUACCAAGGCGACGGUGCGUAGCCGACCUGAGAGGGUGAACGGCCACACUGGGACUGAGACACGGCCCAGACUCCUACGGGAGGCAGCAGUAGGGAAUCUUCCGCAAUGGACGCAAGUCUGACGGAGCAACGCCGCGUGAGUGAUGAAGGUUUUCGGAUCGUAAAGCUCUGUUGCCCUAGACGAACAGCAGGAGGAGUAACUGCCUUUUGUGUGACGGUAUAGGAGAAGAAAGCCCCGGCUAACUACGUGCCAGCAGCCGCGGUAAUACGUAGGGGGCAAGCGUUGUCCGGAAUUAUUGGGCGUAAAGCGCGCGCAGGCGGUCAAUUAAGUUGGGUGUUUAAGCCCGGGGCUCAACCCCGGUUCGCAUCCAAAACUGGUCGACUUGAGUGUAGGAGAGGAAAGUGGAAUUCCACGUGUAGCGGUGAAAUGCGUAGAGAUGUGGAGGAACACCAGUGGCGAAAGCGACUUUCUGGCCUAUAACUGACGCUUGAGCGCGAAAGCGUGGGGGAGCAACAGGAUUAGAUACCCUGGUAGUCCACGCCGUAAACA